Molecule: ribosomal RNA, 257 nt
Filed under: uncultured prokaryote
Description: partial 16S ribosomal RNA
Rfam family: Bacterial small subunit ribosomal RNA
Source: RNAcentral
UAAUACAGAGGUCUCGAGCGUUAGGCGGAAUCACUGGGCUUAAAGCGUGUGUAGGCGGAUCGUUAAGUGCCUUGUGAAAUCCCACGGCUCAACCGUGGAACUGCUUGGCAUACUGGCGGUCUUGAGCAACCUAGGGGCGAGCGGAACAAAUGGUGGAGCGGUGAAAUGCGUAGAUAUCAUUUGGAACGCCAAUGGUGAAAACAGCUCGCUGGGGGUUUGCUGACGCUGAGACACGAAAGCCAGGGGAGCAAACGGGA